ACCAACUACUGAUUCCUUGUUAGAGAAGGCCAAACGAAUAUCUGUAACAAAUAUACUUAUACUAUCCAUAGUACUUCUACCUUUUCUAAAUCCGAACUGACUAUCAGGUAGUAAGCCUCUGCUUUCAAUAUACCACUCUAGGCGGUUUUUAACUAAAUGUUCAGCAAUUUUUGCUAACACAGAUGAUAACGCUAUAGGACGAUAGGAGGAAACAUAAGAUGGAUUUUUAUUGGGUUUUAGUAUUGGCAACACUAACUGAUGUUUCCAUGACAAUGGCAUUUUCCCUGUAGUAAUAAUUAAAUUAAUAAGAGCUAAAUAAUAGGAAAGAGCACCGUCUCCUAGAUUAGCAAGGAAUGAAUAUGUUAUGCCAUCAUUUCCAGGAGCAGUAUCUUUGACAUUUGUUAAAAUACCUUUAAGUUCAGGGAGAGUAAAAAGGAACACUUUAUCAGCUGCUUCAUUUAAUAAUGUGCAUAAAGCAUCUGCACAUUCACACGGAUCAUUUAUUGAAACAUUUGGAAGAGAGGAUAUACUGUUUUCAACAAUUGAUUUAAAAUUACCCCAAUCUCCAUCAUUCAACCUAUAUUUAAUUCUUGGACCUUGUUGAGGGAUUUUUAAAUAUUUCUGAGGAAACUUAAUUAAAAUUGGGAAGUGAUCACUACCAAAGGUGGAAUCCAUAGUAUUCCAGGACAAAGUGGAAGCUAAAUUUGGAGUGCAAAUGGAUAAAUCAAUAGCGCUUAAGAUUCCAUCAGGACCAGUGCGAUGUGUUGGAUUACCAGUAUUCAGGAUGCAAAGAUUAUGAGUAUCUAAAAGUUCCAAAACAGCUUCUCCAUUGGAGUUAGAGAUGGAACUGCCCCAUGAUCUAUGAUGUGAAUUGAAGUCCCCUAGCAAUAUAAAUGGCCGAGGUAAAGAAGAAAGCAUAUUAUUAAUUUCAAUGAAAACGAGAGAAGAAGGAUGAGGAAUGUAGAUGGAAACAAAACAUAUAUUGUUAAUAAUGACAGCUAUAAUUGAAUAAUUAUCACUGUGUGGAGGAAGACUUAAAGGAGUGUAUGUCUGGGAUUUUUCUAUAAGUAUGGCUACACCACCAUACCCAUCUGCUCUGUCUUCUCUAAGACAUAUAUAAUUGGGUAUACGAAACAUAGAAUUUGGUUUAAGCCAUGUCUCAGUGAGAGCUAUCACAAAGGGUUCAUAUUUAUUAACAAUGUAAGCUAAGUCACUUUUUUUGCUGAUUACACUGCGGCAAUUCCAUUGGACCAAUUGAUCCAUUAUUAUGUGUGUUAAUGAGAGAGUUUAAUAAUUCAGGGGCAACGUUGGACGGUUCAUCACAAAGAGGUUUAUUAAUCAAUAUAUCAGCAAAAGAUCUGUUAACUGAUGGAAAAUUUUUUGCAGCUUCGGCAUAAGAAAUACAAUUCUCAGCCAUGAACAGCUUAAUAUCUUUUUGUCUGUUAAAUUCUGGGCAACAUUUAUUAAUAGCAAAAUGAUUACCAGAACACAAGCAACAUGAGCCGCAAUCCUCUUCCACAUUGCAAGAAUCUCCUGUGUGUCCUUGACCACAUUUAAAACAUCGAGGUUUUGAUCUACAUUGUACUUUCGUGUGGCCAAAGCGACAGCAUGCAAAGCAUUGGACAGUUGGGUAAACAUAUAACUCAACAGGAAGAGCAUUGUAGCACAUAAAUAUAUGUUUAGGUAACACUUGUCCAUCAAACGUCAUUACAAUUGUUUGGGAUGGUUUCCAUGUUGGAGAACCUUCCACUAAAACUUUAUAAUUUAACCGUCUCAUUUUUAUAAUUUUACCACAUCCUAUAGGCACUGUAACAUUAUCUAAAACUUCUUCUGGUGACCAUUCUAUAGGGACUCCCCGCACCAGUCCCAUUCGUGUAAUAUUAAAUGUGGGAAUAAAGGCUUUAAGAUUUUGUGAAGAUAGA
This 1922-nucleotide long non-coding RNA is filed under the name Manduca sexta (tobacco hornworm). RNAcentral describes it as "uncharacterized LOC115454645". The record is from RNAcentral. Lineage: Eukaryota; Metazoa; Arthropoda; Insecta; Lepidoptera; Sphingidae.